GAUUCCUACGGGGGGCAGCAGUGGGGGAUAUUGCACAAUGGGGGGAACCCUGACGCAGCGACGCCGCGUGGGUGAAGAAGCGCCUCGGCGCGUAAAGCCCUGUCAGCAGGGAAGAAAAUGACGGUACCUGAAGAAGACGCCCCGGCUAACUACGUGCCAGCAGCCGCGGUAAUACGCAGGGGGCAAGCGUUAUCCGGAUUUACUGGGUGUAAAGGGGGCGCAGACGGCGAU
RNAcentral lists this ribosomal RNA (231 nucleotides) under uncultured bacterium. Its description in RNAcentral is "partial 16S ribosomal RNA". It matches the Rfam family "Bacterial small subunit ribosomal RNA", at positions 334 to 582 of the family's 1533-position model. The record is from RNAcentral.